Molecule: ribosomal RNA, 443 nt
Filed under: Tannerella forsythia
Lineage: Bacteria; Pseudomonadati; Bacteroidota; Bacteroidia; Bacteroidales; Tannerellaceae
Description: bacterial SSU rRNA
Rfam family: Bacterial small subunit ribosomal RNA
Source: RNAcentral
GAUGAACGCUAGCGAUAGGCUUAACACAUGCAAGUCGAGGGGCAUCGAGGGUAGCAAUACCUGUCGGCGACCGGCGCACGGGUGAGUAACGCGUAUGUAACCUGCCCGCAACAGAGGGAUAACCCGGCGAAAGUCGGACUAAUACCUCAUAAAACAGGGGUUCCGCAUGGGGCUAUUUGUUAAAGAUUUAUUGGUUGCGGAUGGGCAUGCGUACCAUUAGGUAGUUGGUGAGGUAACGGCUCACCAAGCCAUCGAUGGUUAGGGGUUCUGAGAGGAAGGUCCCCCACACUGGUACUGAGACACGGACCAGACUCCUACGGGAGGCAGCAGUGAGGAAUAUUGGUCAAUGGGCGAGAGCCUGAACCAGCCAAGUCGCGUGAAGGAUGACUGCCCUAUGGGUUGUAAACUUCUUUUACAGGGGAAUAAAAUGAGAUACCGUGUAU